UCUCAAAAUCAUACGCACCCGCAACAAUUGUACACUUAAUUCACCCGUUGAAUAAUACUCCACCGCUGUCAAGAUUUCACAUACUUAAACCGCGGCCAUAUGUGAAGAUAAAUAGGAGGUUUCCUGCUUAAUCCUACCCACAAAUUUCAUUCAUGUAUUUCAACUUAAUUUAGAAGCAGAAACAUGGCGCAAAGCAUUUCUACUUGUUUGGCCGGGAUGGUGGUGCUAGUCCUGAUUUCCAGCCCAGCCCGGUUGAACGCCUUCUCGUGCACCGAAGCCUUAACAGAUUUGUUGCCCUGCCGAUCGUUUCUGACGGGCAACGGCCCUAUCACCCUUUCCUGUUGCCGGAGCGUUGAUGCCUUAAGACAAGCUGCUGCUGCCCAAUCAGACAAGAGAGCUAUCUGUAGAUGUCUUCAGCAAGCUGCAUUGUCUGCUAACGUCAAUCGAGCGAGAAUCGAGGGACUCGAAAGUGUUUGCAAUAUUAACAUUCCCUUCCCCAUCGGCCCCAAUUUCAACUGCAGCGCGAUUCCGCGGCACACGGCAGGGGCGCACAGUCUGGGCAGGGCCCUGGCGUAUUGAAAUCCAGGAAUGGGGAUGCUGUUUUCCUGGAAGAGGAGACUCUAUAAGAUGGCAGAUGAUAGACAUUAUCCAAGUGAUGGAUGUCGGAGGAUUUUGUGAUUGUGGAAUAAAUAUAAAACAUGUUUGAGAAAUAAACAAAAUGUUGAUAGAAAUGUCUCUUUUUUGUUCUGCUUCAUUAUA
Molecule: non-coding RNA, 759 nt
Organism: Sesamum indicum (sesame)
Lineage: Eukaryota; Viridiplantae; Streptophyta; Magnoliopsida; Lamiales; Pedaliaceae
Source: RefSeq, a predicted model, not a curated record